AUAUAUAUAUAUACAAAAGAGGGACUUAGAAAAGUGAUGUGACAUCUCUCUAAAGCCAAGGAUCAUAUUUAUCUUUUUUCUCCUUUUUUUUUGUUUUUUCUUACUCAUUUUUCAUUUAUUCUAUUAAUUAAAUUAUUAAUAGAAAGUCCAAAAGUCAUGUUCUAACGUAUUAUUUUGGUUUCUCUUCGCCAUAAAUCAUUUUGUUUCCAAACCGUUGCGAAAGUAACUCAUUGUCUCUAUUAUUUCUUCUGUUGCUUAUGAUUAACCAUUAUUAAUAUAUGGUAAUGUUGUACCGUUUGAAUUCUGGCAACAAACUCAUACACACACUCUAACUGCUCCCUCUUUCUAUCUAUUAUGAGCCAAGAGGGCAACGAUGCAAUUGAAUUUUUUGGGAGGCUGACAAACAUUUUCAGAGUUGUUAAAAACUCAAGUGAUGUGGAUCUGUUUCUUAGUAAUUCUCAACAUUUUGUUAAGCCGUUUCAGAAGAGAAGUUGUUCCACAUGUUGCUAUAGUGUUUAUCUUGUGAAUACCAGAUAGUUUUGCUGCUUUGUUUUAAAUAAUUCUUAAUAUGUCCCCUUGCUUCUGAGAACACGUAAGUUAUUCGGUUUUCCUUGUAACAGAUUAUACAUUUAAUCUAGCUCUUAUUUCAUUGAUGAUCUACCUUCAUUUUGUCUUUCACUGACUGUAUUUCACAUUUUAAUAAACUUUUCUUUAAUUUCUUGGUUUACUAAUUAACUUCACUAAACUUUUCAAAUGUGGUCGGGGUUCCUUUUUUCAGGGAUAUAAGCCAGCAGUGGAAAGUGGAAGAAUGACUUUGCAGUAUAUAUGUGAACUUGGAUGGAGGGAAGGUUUCUGAGAAUUGAUGUAAAGAUUAAUAUGUUGUUAUCUGUAGUCUCAUUCUUUCUGGAGGAAACAUCCGAUAUACAAGGACGCGCGUUUUAGUGAUUGAUAUAUCAAAAUCUUUCAAUGAAUAAAUUGAGAUUAUGAGAUCUUACCAACUUCUGCAGAAAGCUAUGCAUUUGGUGUUACUGUUUUUGAUGGGAAGAGAUAGCAAGUCAUAAUUUAAAAGUUCUCUUUACCAUUUUUAUUAGCAUAGAUAAACUCGAUAUGUUUACUUUAAUG
RNAcentral lists this long non-coding RNA (1122 nucleotides) under Nicotiana tabacum (common tobacco). RNAcentral describes it as "long non-coding RNA (NTAB_LNC014661)". Lineage: Eukaryota; Viridiplantae; Streptophyta; Magnoliopsida; Solanales; Solanaceae. The record is from RNAcentral.